RNAcentral lists this small RNA (139 nucleotides) under Pseudomonas granadensis. RNAcentral describes it as "Pseudomonas sRNA P11". It matches the Rfam family "Pseudomonas sRNA P11". Rfam says of the family: P11 is located between a putative threonine protein kinase and putative nitrate reductase and appears to be conserved in several Pseudomonas species. P11 has a predicted Rho independent terminator at the 3'end but the function of P11 is unknown. The record is from RNAcentral. Lineage: Bacteria; Pseudomonadati; Pseudomonadota; Gammaproteobacteria; Pseudomonadales; Pseudomonadaceae.
CAUUUCCCAAGUUGGCACAACCACUGCAUUACUCCUCUCAACACACACAUAAAGCCCAACCUUCAACGACGAAGGCUGGGCUCCCCGAGAGAACGGGACCAGGACAAAGGCGUCCUCGCUAGGCAACUAGCGGGACGCC